Molecule: unclassified non-coding RNA, 1657 nt
Filed under: Hevea brasiliensis (rubber tree)
Lineage: Eukaryota; Viridiplantae; Streptophyta; Magnoliopsida; Malpighiales; Euphorbiaceae
Source: RNAcentral
CAUCUUUAUGGUGCUGAAAAUAUGGAGAGGUUCAAAAACGAAUCACUCCCCUCCAAAUCUACCCCCAGGACCAAGCAAGCUUCCUAUUAUUGGAAACAUGCAUCAGCUUGUUGGCCCUCCACCUCAUCAUCGCCUAAGAGACUUGGCCAAGGAAUAUGGAAGUAUUAUGCAUCUUCAGCUUGGUGAAGUUUCCAAUAUAGUCAUUUCAUCACCAGAAGCUGCAAAAGAAGUGAUGAAGACUCAUGAUGUUGUGUUUGCUCAGAGGCCUUUUCUCUUAGCUGCUAGUAUUAUAACUUAUAACUUCACAGAUAUUGCAUUUUCACCAUAUGCAGAUUACUGGAGACAGCUGCGAAAAAUUUGCAUAUUGGAAUUGCUAAGUGCAAAGCGUGUGCAAUCAUACAGAUCAAUUAGGGAAGAGGAGGUAUCAAAUUUGAUCGGUACAAUUUCUUCUUCUCCAGGGCAGCCGUUCAACUUUAGCAGGAAGCUUUUUUCUUUAACUUAUGGCAUUGCUGCUCUGGCUACCUUCGGUAAGAAAUGCAAAGACCAAGAGGAAUUCAUACCACUUGUUGAGGAAAUUACAGAGGUAGCUGGAGGAUUCAGUCUAGCAGAUUUGUUCCCUUCCAUUAAAUUGCUCCAUGUGAUUAGUGGGAUGAGGUCUAGACUUGUGAGGCUGCAGCGAGAAGCAGACAGGAUAAUUGAAAACAUCAUUAAUGAUCACAGAGCUAGGAACAAAACAGCAAAGACCAGCAGCGGGGGUGAAGAAGAUGACCUUGUUGAUGUUCUUUUGAGGCUUCAGGAGCAUGGAAACCUUGAAUUUCCAUUGACAACUGACAACAUCAAAGCAGUCAUCCUGGACAUUUUCAUUGCUGGCAGUGAGACAUCAUCAACAACAGUAGAGUGGGCAAUGUCCGAAAUGCUGAAGAAUCCAAGGGUGAUGGAGAAGGCACAAGACGAGGUGAGGAGAGUAUUUGAUAAAAAAGGAAAUGUGGAUGAAACAGACAUUCAUGACCUGAAAUAUUUGAAGUUAGUUAUCAAAGAAACUUUGCGAUUACACCCUCCUGCUCCAUUGCUACUUCCAAGAGAAGGUAGGGAGAGAUGUGAGAUUUACGGGUACGAGAUACCAGCCAAAUCCAAAGUUAUUGUUAAUGCUUGGGCAAUUAACAGGGAUCCAAAUCACUGGACUGAAGCUGACAAAUUCUAUCCAGAAAGAUUUCUUGAUAGUUCAAUUGAUUACAAGGGGAACAAUUUUGAAUUUAUUCCGUUUGGUGCUGGAAGGAGGAUGUGUCCUGGCGUAUUGUUUGGCAUAGCUAAUGUUGAGCUUCCACUUGCACAGUUUCUUUAUCAUUUUGAUUGGAAACUUGCAAGUGGAUUGAAGGCAGAAACUCUAGAUAUGAUCGAGUCUUUUGGCGCUACAGUUAGAAGGAAAAAUGAUCUGCACUUGAUUCCCGUUCCGUACACGCCAUCCUCAGCCGCCUGUUGAAUUAAGUCACUGUAGUAUUAAGUCACUGUAGUAUUCAGAUGUUUAUCACCUUUUAUACUUGUAUUGCAGCUACGUACAACACUUGUGUUCAGCAGUGUAAGAAUCUUACAAAAUAAACCUGCUUUUGUGUACUCAUGGGAAAGAAGAUAAAAAAAAUUGUAAGCGAGUUAAAAUUAG